UGGGGAAUAUUGCACAAUGGGCGAAAGCCUGAUGCAGCAACGCCGCGUGAGUGAUGAAGGCCUUCGGGUUGUAAAGCUCUGUCUUUUGGGACGAUAAUGACGGUACCAAAGGAGGAAGCCACGGCUAACUACGUGCCAGCAGCCGCGGUAAUACGUAGGUGGCAAGCGUUGUCCGGAUUUACUGGGCGUAAAGGAUGCGUAGGCGGAUUUUAAGUGAGAUGUGAAAUACCCGGGCUUAACUUGGGUGCUGCAUUUCAAACUGGGAAUCUAGAGUGCGGGAGAGGAGAAUGGAAUUCCUAGUGUAGCGGUGAAAGUGCGUAGAGAUUAGGAAGAACACCAGUGGCGAAGGCGAUUCUCUGGACCGUCAACUGACGCUGAGGCAUGAAAGCGUGGGUAGCAAACAGGAUUAGAUACCCUGGUAGUCCACGCCGUAAACGAUGAGUACUA
Molecule: ribosomal RNA, 447 nt
Filed under: uncultured bacterium
Lineage: Bacteria
Description: partial 16S ribosomal RNA
Rfam family: Bacterial small subunit ribosomal RNA
Source: RNAcentral